Molecule: long non-coding RNA, 874 nt
Organism: Armigeres subalbatus
Lineage: Eukaryota; Metazoa; Arthropoda; Insecta; Diptera; Culicidae
Exons: 2
Source: RefSeq, a predicted model, not a curated record
UGUUGCGCUUGAAGUCUCCAUUGGUGUGUAGAGUUCUAGGUAUACAGUUGAAAAGACACUAUAGCCAGCCUGUCAGUUAUCAGUUUUGUGUGUUUUUCCGUGCAUAACUGGCAGCAUUGAUUUUUUUUGUUUCCUCUUUCUUCUAUCACCGUUUUGUAACUUUCGUAAACAUUUCAUUGAUCUGUGUCGUGGGUGUUCAGUGAAUUUUGGUCUUGGUCGGCCCCGUAGUUAAUAAAUUUUGCAAAUUUGCAAAUUUUGCGGUCUUUCCUCGCUUUUGUGACAGCCAUCAAGAAGCUGGACGUAUUCAUAAAAAGCAGCAAAAAUCUGAAUAAGGGAAACUACGCAAAGAUACUACCCGUUGCAAAGCUUAGCGGUUUUUUCUAGAUUGAGAUCACACUCUAUGACGCAAUUGGUACCGAUCUUGAGAACGGCGGUGCAUUCGAGUAUUCAUACCAUCAAGGAUGCUCGCCACAGGAAACCUUCCGUCUAUCUACGGGGAUAUUCCGCCGCCAAACUUCGAAUAUACACUCAGCAUACAGUACAUACUUCAUGUAUAUACUCCGGCGAACAUCGUUGCGGAAAUAUAUCAGGCGCCAAGCGCAACAGGUUGGUCUGCAUUCUAUUCGGUAUCACCCAGAAGGAUAUGAUGAAGUGCUACGACCUCCUGUCUAGUUUGGCCAAAGCGAAAUCAAUUCAAACUACACAAACAAUGGCAUUCGACAGCAUACAAUAAAUAUUUAUCGAUGUGAUGAUCUGCGCCGUCGACUGAGCAAUUUCGAACUGCGUACACCGUUAGUUUUUUAAUCAUGGCUGAAGGACUGUAAUCUCCGUUAGGUUGGAAUACAAUUUUUGUCUAGUUUUGAGAGAUUUUAAA